AUGAACGCUAGCGGCAGGCUUAACACAUGCAAGUCGAGGGGCAUCGAGAGAGUAGCAAUACUUUGUCGGCGACCGGCGGACGGGUGCGUAACGCGUAUGCAACCUACCUUAUACAGGGGGAUAACCUUUCGAAAGGGAGACUAAUACCGCAUAACAUUACUUUGAGGCAUCUUGAGGUAAUUAAAUCUUCGGAGGUAUAAGAUGGGCAUGCGUAGCAUUAGCUAGAUGGUGCGGUAACGGCGUACCAUGGCGACGAUGCUUAGGGGUUCUGAGAGGAAGGUCCCCCACACUGGUACUGAGAUACGGACCAGACUCCUACGGGAGGCAGCAGUGAGGAAUAUUGGUCAAUGGUCGGAAGACUGAACCAGCCAUGCCGCGUGCAGGAAGAAUGUCUUAUGGAUUGUAAACUGCUUUUGUAUGGGAAUAAUAAUAGCUUUGCGAAGUUAGAUGCAUGUACCAUACGAAUAAGGAUCGGCUAACUCCGUG
RNAcentral lists this ribosomal RNA (486 nucleotides) under uncultured bacterium. RNAcentral describes it as "bacterial SSU rRNA". It matches the Rfam family "Bacterial small subunit ribosomal RNA", at positions 29 to 507 of the family's 1533-position model. The record is from RNAcentral.